This 492-nucleotide ribosomal RNA is filed under the name uncultured bacterium. RNAcentral describes it as "partial 16S ribosomal RNA". It matches the Rfam family "Bacterial small subunit ribosomal RNA", at positions 29 to 507 of the family's 1533-position model. The record is from RNAcentral.
AGUGAACGCUGGCGGUAGGCCUAACACAUGCAAGUCGAACGGCAGCACAGUAAGAGCUUGCUCUUACGGGUGGCGAGUGGCGGACGGGUGAGGAAUACAUCGGAAUCUACUUUUUCGUGGGGGAUAACGUAGGGAAACUUACGCUAAUACCGCAUACGACCUACGGGUGAAAGCAGGGGAUCUUCGGACCUUGCGCGAUUGAAUGAGCCGAUGUCGGAUUAGCUAGUUGGCGAGGUAAAGGCCCACCAAGGCGACGAUCCGUAGCUGGUCUGAGAGGAUGAUCAGCCACACUGGAACUGAGACACGGUCCAGACUCCUACGGGAGGCGGCAGUGGGGAAUAUUGGACAAUGGGCGCAAGCCUGAUCCAGCCAUACCGCGUGGGUGAAGAAGGCCUUCGGGUUGUAAAGCCCUUUUGUUGGGAAAGAAAAGCAGCAGGUUAAUACCCCGCUGUUCUGACGGUACCCAAAGAAUAAGCACCGGCUAACUUCGUG